This 468-nucleotide ribosomal RNA is filed under the name uncultured bacterium. Its description in RNAcentral is "partial 16S ribosomal RNA". It matches the Rfam family "Bacterial small subunit ribosomal RNA", at positions 28 to 507 of the family's 1533-position model. The record is from RNAcentral.
GACGAACGCUGGCGGCGUGCUUAACACAUGCAAGUCGAACGGAAAGGCCCUGCUUUUGUGGGGUGCUCGAGUGGCGAACGGGUGAGUAACACGUGAGUAACCUGCCCUUGACUUUGGGAUAACUUCAUGAAACUGGGGCUAAUACCGGAUAGGAGCUCCUGCUGCAUGAUGGGGGUUGGAUAGUUUCGGCGGUUGGGGAUGGAAUCGCGGCUUAUCAGCUUGUUGGUGGGGUAGUGGCUUACCAAGACUUUGACCGGUAGCCGUCCUGAGCGGGUGACAGGACACAUUGGGAUUGAGAUACGGCCCAGACUACUACGGGAGGCAGCGGUGCGGAAUAUUACACUAUGGGCGGAAGGCUGAUGCAGCAACGCCGCGUGCGGGAUGACGUGCUUCGGGUUGUAAACCGCUUUCGCCUGUGACGAGGCGUGAGUGACGGUAAUGGGUAAAGAAGCACCGGCUAACUCCGUG